GACGAACGCUGGCGGCGUGCUUAACACAUGCAAGUCGAACGGAAAGGCCCUCCUUUUGUGGGGUGCUCGACUGUCGAACGCGUGACUAACACGCGAGUACCCAGCCCUUGAUUAUGGGAUCACGUCAUGAAACUGGGGCUAAUAACGCAUAGCAGCUCCUGCCGCACGGUGCGGGUUGGAACGUUUCGGCGGUUGGGGAUGGAUUCGCGGCUGCUCAGCUUGGUGGUGGGGUAGUCGCUUACCAAGGCGUUGACAGGUAGCCGACCUGCGCGGGUCACCGGCCUCGUUGGGAGCGGGAUACGGCCCAGACUGGUACCGGAGGCAGCGGUCGCGAAUCUUGCACAAUGGGCCCACGCCUGAUGCAGCAACGCCGGGUGCGGGAUGACGGCUUUCGGGUUGUAAACCGCUUUCGCCUGUGACGAAGCCUGAGUGACGGUAACGGGUAAAGAAGCACCGGCUAACUACGUG
Molecule: ribosomal RNA, 468 nt
Filed under: uncultured bacterium
Lineage: Bacteria
Description: partial 16S ribosomal RNA
Rfam family: Bacterial small subunit ribosomal RNA
Source: RNAcentral